This 406-nucleotide ribosomal RNA is filed under the name uncultured bacterium. RNAcentral's name for it is "partial 16S ribosomal RNA". It matches the Rfam family "Bacterial small subunit ribosomal RNA", at positions 29 to 526 of the family's 1533-position model. The record is from RNAcentral.
AUUGAACGCUGGCGGCAGGCCUAACACAUGCAAGUCGAACGAGUGGCGGAAUGGUGCGUAAUGUAUGGGCAACUGCCUGAUGGCGGGGGAUAACUACUGGAAACGGUAGCUAAUACAGCAUACCAUGCGAUGGGCCCAGAUGGGAUUAGCUGGUAGGAGGGGUAAAGGCUAACCUAGGCGACGAUCACUAGCUGGUCUGAGAGGAUGACCAGCCAGACUGGAAAUGAGACACGGGCCAGACGCCUACGGGAGGCAGCAGUGGGGAAUAUUGCACAAUGGGCGCAAGACUGAGGCAGCCAUGCCGCGUGUAUGAAGAAGGCCUUCGGGUUGUAAAGUACUUUCAGCGGGGAGGCGUUACCCGCAGAAGAAGCACCGGCUAACUCCGUGCCAGCAGCCGCGGUAAUAC